UGUCUGUGUGUUUGGUUGUUGUGGUUUGAUUUGUUUGUGGAUGACGAGGUCUUCCUCCGUUGUGUUUUGUUGUGGCGAGUAGAAGAGGAGUGGGUCUCCUUUGGGUGAUGGUUAUAGAAAAUUCCAUGGUAGAGUUGGAUGAGGAAGGUGCAGGAAGAGGCAUUGAAAUGAGAGUGAAUUGAAUGCAGAAGAUGAAGAUGAAGAUGGUGGCAGUAGGAGAGAAGAGAAGAGAAGAGAAGUUUAUGAUAUUGGUUGAUGGAAAGUGGGAAUUUAUAGGAAAAAAUAGAGACUAAUGGAAGAAAAGUAUAACAUAUGUAUGACUGUUGGAACUUGUCAAACUAUGGAACCAGUCUCUAUAUUUCUAAUUCUAGCGAUUCAAGGUCCAAUCAUGUCCCAUGACUCACCAUAACCAAUUCACAUUCACCAUUUAUUUCCAAAUUUCCUUAUUUUCUUUAUUCGUUUAAAAUGUUUAUAUAUAUAUAUAUAUAUAUAUAUAUAUUAUAUAGAUAUAGAUAUAUAUAUUUUGAUAACUAAUAACAUUUUUAAGAGACUACACUCUUUUCACAUUAUUCAAAGAAAAUAAUAUUAUUUAUAACAAUAAUAUAAAAAUUUAAAUCUCAAAAUCAUUAAAGUUUAAGAAAAUUUAGACAGAAUAAGAUUAUGAAAAUCUGUUUUAUUAAUAAAAAAUUAUUUAAAUAAAUAAAUUAAUUUUUUCUUAAUAAAAUUUCGAUUCAAAAGUAUUAUUGAUAUUUCUACCAAUUCAAGACACACAGUAUAAACUUAACUCAUAAAACUUAUUAAAAACAUCUCGUUGAAAAUAUUGAAAAUGGCAAAUUCUUCCUCCACACUCAUGCGUUUCUCCUCCUGCACUUCGGUUUUAACUUCUUAAAUUUUUUAAAUAACUAAUGAAGCAUAAUGUUAUAUUUUUAAAUAAUCUUAGUUGCACUCCGCAUUCCAUAUCUUCCUUCCAACCGCAUAUCUUCCUUCUAAUUGCAACACUUAUAUUUUUCUCCAACUGCAAUGUUUGAGAGAGCAAUUUCAUCAUUUGACCGUAUGUAAGAAGGUUGGCGAAAAUAUUCAUUGUAUUCAACGUUUCCCAAUGUGAAGAUAUUUGUUUUUAGUUGUGUGCUCCAUUUUUUGCACCGGACUGAUAUUUUUUUUUUCUGAUUUCUGUGACUUUUGGAAGAAUGACUAUUGUACUAGAAGGAGUGCUCGAUACUAGAAUGACUAUUGGUCCAGUUUUAAUGGUAAGCACGGUAAGGAAUAAUUAAAGUAGAUAAAAUAUUGAGUUGAAUAUAUAUGUUAAUAUAUAUAAAGUUGUUAGUCAAAUAUGUAUGUUAAUAUAUGUAGAAGCUAUUAGAAUAUAUGCAUAAAGUCGUUAGUUAAAUGAGUAAAGUUGUUAAUUAAGUAGCGAGUACCCGUGAAUAAAGGUGCACGAGAUUCUCUUCUUUUUUUAGCAUUGUGAGAGAAGGUGCCCAUAGGCAAAAUAUAUUUUUGGUAUAUAUGCUUUCAGUUAAGAUUAUAUUCUCGUGGGUGAAAGUUGUUAAAGGGAUAACUAUAAAAUGGGCUUGAGACCCCCCAGUAAAGGUAUGUUGUUUUUUAGUACUUUAGACUGGAACUGAUUACUAAUUUUGUAUGCUAUCACUGACUUGAUCAUCGGAGUGUGAUCAACAGGUAGAUCCCCCUCGGUUUUAGUGGAAUGUUGUUCUAGUGCACCAAGAGGAGAUAGGCUAGAAGCGGAGCUCUCCAUUCAGUCCAACCGAAGGUCAACUGGCGAAAACAUUUGGCGCCCACCAUGGAGUACGAUAAAACUUGAUCCUAUCCGCAUUCGUAAUUGAGUUUUCUAAAGUGAUGAGAAACACAAGGCAAGGCCCGCAGAGAUCUGAAGGAGGUGAUGUCCCUGUUUUACAGCAACUCAUGGAUGCCAUGAGGGCCCUCCAAGAGGCAAAUGAGGAGCACAGACGAGAGCAAGAACGAAUCCAAGAAGAAGCCAAGGCUGAGCAAGAGAGGCUAGGAAAGCCCAAGUUGAGUAGGAGAGGUUAGGAGCGGAAGCCGAGCUGAGCAAGAGCUUUUACAGAGGAACGAAUGCCAUCCAAUGUAAAAUGUUCAUGGGUACUUUUACAAGUACAAUCCUACAAUGGUUCACCGGGAUCCCUGAUGGUUAGAUCACCUCUUUCUCUUAGUUUUCCUUGAUGUUUAGAGAGUAGUUCUCCUCCAACAAGGUCAAACCCCCAAUGAUAUAUGACCUCUUUGGCGUAAGGCAAAGGGAGGGAGAGUCAUUGAAGGAUUACCUAAAUAGGUUCAGUGCGCAUGAUGAAGAUAUGAUGAUUGCCGAAGAGAUCGCGACUCGUUAAUCAAAAAUCCAGUAGAGAAAUUUUCCGAGGUACGAGAAUGAGCUGUCCUAAGGAUGUGGUUAGAAAGAAUGACAACUUGCAUUUAAGGCAAGCUAGUCCUAAGGAAAUCGAUCGAGCUCGACCCUUACGAGUCAACGAAACAUCGACCGAGAAGAGAAUGAACUCGAGGUACGUGCCAUACGUAGCCAAGAGAAAUGAGCCCAAGACAAAGGCCAAGGAGGAGUUAGCAACUCGGUCCAAAUUUCGAGUUUCCUACAAAGAAUUAUUGAGCAUGCCAAGGAUAGCUGACAAACUGUGUAAUUUUCAUUUUAAAGAAAUGUAGCAGGUAAGUUUUCAUGAAAACACAUGCUAGUGAGUUAGAAAAUCCAAGCAACUUUUUUUCCCAAUUAAAUUGUAUGCAUAUAAGAUUUUAAGGACUGAAUUUAAACACAUUAAUAUGAUUUUCAAUAUUAAAUGCAUAGUAAAAUAUAGUAUUCAACUUUCAAAAUAUAGAAAUUUUUAUUUGUACUUUUUUUCGUUUUUCCCUUUGAAGAUAACUUUAUUAUGCUUGAUUCAAACUUUGAUUAUAUAUAUAUAUAUAUAUAUAUAUAUAUAUAUAUGUAUGUAUAUGUGUGUAUGUAUAUUCUGCAUGAUUGACACUCUGACUUAGCAUUCAGUCCAAACCGAUCGACACAACCAAAACCGUUACGCCUAAAUAGGAUUAACGAGACUAAUCAAUGAUCAAGCAUUAGGUAAUGCACUCCUAAUCAUGACCCAACUUCCUAAUCCACCCAAUAACAACAGGCCCAUGAUAAACAACAAUUCUUUCUUCAUCUUGCAUUCUCGAAUAUAAAUCAACCAUUGCAAUCAAAUUUUGUUUGUCCUCUCUACUUCUCGGUAUUCUUAAACUAUUUUAAGGCUUGCCAUAUAACAUUCCCUUAUUGCUCAUUGAUCAACAUAAAUGGUUGCAAUUUUUCCCUUUUCAGUUGGAAACUUCAUAGCUAAAUGUGGUGUUGACACUAUAGCUCCUAACUUGUUUAAUGAAGACCUCCCCAACAAAGCAUUGUACGAAGUGCAUGCAUCCACAACUAAGUAUCUAAUUUUAAUUUUCUUCGUCACAUUUCCCAUUCCAUACGUGGUUUUCAAAUCUAUAUAUCCCCUUAUACUUACCCUCACACCCUAGAACCUAAUUAUUUGCUCUCAGUGUGGUAUAAUAUCUUCUUCCCUCAAAUUGAGUUUCUGAAAUGUCUCCCAAAAUAGAAUAUCAACAGAACUUGCUUGAUCUACCAAAGUCUUCAUAAUCGCAUACUUUGCUAUCUCCGCCGUAAUCACCAUGGGGUUAUCUUGUUCUGGAUGAAUUGCUUGAAAGUCUUUGUUAGUGAACAUAAUUGGUGGCAUACUUCUCUUUUUAGAAAUAGAAUUUAUUGUCCCAACGUUUCUCAAAUUCUUCUUUCUGGAAAAUGAGGAUACUCCUCUUCCAGCAAACCCUCCUGAAAUUGUGUUAAUAAAUCCUCUAACAGGUCUUCCUAAAUUUCGUUCUCAGCUUCUUCUCCUUUGAGAACUUUGAUGGUUCCUCUAUUCUUUUCGUUCAACCUUUUCCUCCCUUUUGUCGUCCCUUGUAUCAUACCUUUCUUCUCUUUUAUUCCCAUACCUCCUUUCCUUCUGCUUUGGAAUUUUUCCCCUUCUCGGAACUCCCCAAUCUCUUACAAAAAGCCUUAACUGUCCAACUUAAACUAAUUCUUCUCUUCAACCUUUCAAUGUUAUACAUUCUUCUGUGUAGUGACCAUGGUUUCUGUGAUAUUGACAGUGUUUGCUUUGAUAAGCUCAUUCUGUUGUUCAUGCUUUUCUCGGUGCUGGUAUUAUCUCUACUGUCAUUGCCUUUUGUAAUAUCCAAGCUCGAUUAGUACUCAAAGGUGUGAAAUGUUGAAAUUUUUUUCUAUGUGGUCCUUCUCUAAGUCUUCUAUACUGAUGUCCUCCUUCUCUUUCACUAUGUUUCUUUUCAACUCCACUAUUUUCUCUUACUUGAUUUCGAAAAUCCCUCAACUCUUACAUUUGCAUAAAAUUUGUUACACGUGUCUCAUUUCUUCGAGAUUAGUAGUAGGUUUUUAACGAAGGUUAUCGGUAAGAGGUCCUAACCUUAAUUUCGUGAUCAUGUGAUGCAUUGUUACCUAUGGACUUAAAUUAUGUAUACUGAGUGCAACUUUUCCAAAACUUUCCAUAAACAACCUAAGCGAUUCUCCUUUUUCCUGCCUUAUAUUAACUAAAUCAAUUGAAGUUAAAUGAUGUGGUCCACUUGUAGCAAAUUGCAUUCCAAACUUCUCGACAAGUGUAUCAAAACAGUCAAUAGAUAGUGGAGGUAAACGAGUAAACCAACAUAACGCCGCUGCCUUCAAAGUUGUUGGAAAUACUCAGCAUAGAAUGACAUCAUUCUAGGUAUACAAGCUUAUCUCUGUUGUGUAAAUAACUAUAGGCUGAUUAGGAUCCGUGCUUCCAUCAUACUUAUCCAUGGUUGGAUUUUUCUAGUUCUCAAGCAAUAGAGUCUUUAUGAUUGCUUCCAAAUGAGGUUUUAUUUAAAAUUGUUUCUUCAUUCAACUUUUGUUUCAUAUACACGUUUUAAAAUAUUAAAAUACUCAGCUCUUCAUCAGUGUUUAAGUUUAGAGUUUCAAACUCCUUUUGCAAUUUCAUUAACAUAGCCAUUGACAUGGCGUUCAGGUUAUCUUCCUGUGCUCCUGCUUGGUCUCCCCUUCUACUUUUCAUCCUUCAAUUCUUCAAUUAAAUACUUCGGGCCCUACAAUAGGCACCAAAAUGUUCUUACAGGGCCUUUGAAGUAAAUAAAUUUUCUUCCUUUCCUCCUCACAACCUUUUAUUCUCUCGCUGAUAACUUGGGCUUAGUUACUGGAUCAAUUGACUUGGACAAUCUUUUGGUCAUAUGGUCUUGGGCCCACUCUUGGCUACUGGGCAUGGGCUCACUCUCGGCCGUUGGAUGUACCUACAAGGUGCUCCGAUGAUAAAGUCAGAAUCAGUUUAAUUAAGUUAUAUAAAAACACUCUACUUACCUGUUAAACAAAUAAUCUAUUUAUAGUAUUCAUUAUUGACUUUAUUAAUUUAAUUGGAUUUUACUUUUUAGACCUUGCACUUACUAAAUGUAUUUUUAAUAUUUUUGAAAGAUCUUGAUACAUUAUUCACUUAUUUUAUUAUUUUUUUAUAUUAUUCUAACUUCAUUUAAUUUUUUUAAUACUCUAAUGACUUUUCGACCUCUCGGUCUCUCUAACUAUUAUGAAAGCAAAAAUAUUAAUUUAAAGUGGAUUAUAUACAACAUUUCUGGUGGGAGUGGAAAUCUCUAGGAUUGAUAUACCGCCAUUCUAGAAUACUUAGUGUUACUUUUAAAAGCAUCUUAACCCCUCAUGCUGAACUUAUGGCAGUGUUAAUGACUACACAAUUGUUAGACUUAGGAAUGAAACGAUAUGGGAGGAGAGGGAAUCAAAGUUCUCCAUAAUACUAAUUUGUAGUGUUUUCUGAAAUAAAAUUAUCUGGGAUGAGCAGACAUAAAGAUAACAUAAAUGAUGGUUGUACGGAGAAGGGUGUUAGAGCCACUUAAGAUUUUUGAGAAUUUUUCUUCAAUCUUCUUUUCCUCUUGUUGUUAGCUCUUGCUCUCAGAAGUAAUGAAUGCAGAGUAAUAUACAAAAAGGAAGAAAACUACAAUUAACAUGUUAGUGCUUAUAAUUUGAAGACCUCAAAGUCUUGAACGCGUAUUUUUAUAAUGGUCAACUAAGUGGCACUUGCUGCUUCUCUUGGAAUAAAUUUUAUUGGUCAAGAUGCUCUUUUGUCUCCAUUUAACAACACAACUUGUUUUGUAGUUAAUAAUCUACUAUCAAGUUUCUUCUAUUUCAGUCAAAAUCCUUCUGUGUAUAAUAAAAUAUCAUUUUUAUUUCAAAAUGAGAGACAUGUUUAAUUGUAUAUUUAUUAUCUUUAUUUCUUAAUGUUUUUUAAUACAUAUUUAUUUGUAUUGCUAUUUUACUUCGUGUAUCUAUUUAUUUAUUAUAAUAAGAAAUGUAAACAGAUAAGGACAUGAAUUAAAAAGUUUUACAACUGAGAAUAAGAAAAAACAUAAAGUAAAUUGGCAGUCCCAAGUAAAUGUUAUAUACAAAACAACAACUGUUGUUUUCAAAAGGACUAUACUCUGGUAAAUGAUUCAUUUAAUAUUCAGUUAGAUACAUUUUUAAAUAGCUAAAUAGAAAUCAAUAAUACAAACCAACUGCCAAAAUAAAAUAAAAAUCAAUAAAUUUUACAACAAUCUAUAACAAUAAAUUUUAUAACAAUCUAUAACAAUAAAUUUUAUAUAUUUUUCUUAUUUUACUAACUAAUUUUUUUCCUAUUCACACAUUCAAUGCGAUUAGAGUCUCAUUCUGAAGGCGUCCACUUUUUUUCUUCACUAAUUAUUUUGUAGUUAAUAAUUCCUUAUCAAGUUUCUUCUAUUUUAGUCAAAAUCCUCCUCUGUAGGAUAGAAUAUCAUUUUUCUUCACUGCAUUUGUCACUCAUUGUUAUCGAUGGUUGUGUUAAACCUAUCUUCUUCUCUGAACUAUAAUCUACUUCUUAAAGAAUCAAAUUCAUUAUAACAUUCACACAGUUAUAUCAAGUUUAAUAAUUGUAAGUGUCUAUUCUAAAGAAUUGAUUAGCUCUAAUACAGAAUAUAGAAAUAAAGACAUAAUGCAACAAAAUCUUUCAUCAUUAAUUACAUGAUUACAGUUUGGAAGAUAAUGACGAAAUAAAGUUGGUUGGGACCAAAGAAAAAAUGGAAAGAAAGGAAGCAGUUUGGUUGUGUUUAUGGAAGGAUUGUUACUGGAUCUUUUCCUUUAUGUGGAUUGUGCGCUGUUUUUGUUAGCAGAGGAGUGUCUGUGUGUUUGGUUGUUGUGGUUUAAUUUGUUUGUGGAUGACGUGGUCUUCCUCCGUUGUGUUUUGUUGUGGCGAGUAGAAGAGGAGUGGGUCUCCUCUGGGUGAUGGUUAUAGAAAAUUCCAUGGUAGAGUUGGAUGAGGAAGGUGCAGGAAGAGGCAUUGAAAUGAGAGUGAAUUGAAUGCAGAAGAUGAAGAUGAAGAUGGUGGCU
This 7435-nucleotide long non-coding RNA is filed under the name Phaseolus vulgaris (common bean). RNAcentral's name for it is "long non-coding RNA (PVUL_LNC003001)". The record is from RNAcentral. Lineage: Eukaryota; Viridiplantae; Streptophyta; Magnoliopsida; Fabales; Fabaceae.